RNAcentral lists this ribosomal RNA (301 nucleotides) under uncultured bacterium. RNAcentral describes it as "partial 16S ribosomal RNA". It matches the Rfam family "Bacterial small subunit ribosomal RNA", at positions 509 to 807 of the family's 1533-position model. The record is from RNAcentral.
CAGCCGCCACGGUAAUACGAAGGGGGCUAGCGUUGCUCGGAAUGACUGGGCGUAAAGGGCGCGUAGGCGGCGAUCAAAGUCAGGCGUGAAAUUCCUGGGCUCAACCUGGGGGCUGCGCUUGAUACUUGGCUGCUUGAGUGGGGAAGAGGGUCGUGGAAUUCCCAGUGUAGAGGUGAAAUUCGUAGAUAUUGGGAAGAACACCGGUGGCGAAGGCGGCGACCUGGUCCUUGACUGACGCUGAGGCGCGAAAGCGUGGGGAGCAAACAGGAUUAGAUACCCCGGUAGUCCCUGUCUCUUAUAC